AAAAAAUAAAUUUUUGUUGUAACUUAACCGCUACCGCCCGCAACCGCAAACGCUUGCGGGAAGGAGCUUUUGAGAUCUGACGAUUUCGAGCGGUCCAAAGCGGUAUCUAGCGGUUUUUAUGAUUGGUGCCAAUCGCUAACAACCGCUACCACCCGCAAACGCUGCGUUUGCGGGUGGCAGAGGGAGAACCAAUCAAGCCCUUAGUUAUUAUAAAAAGGACAGUUUCUAUAUGUUAAUAGAUUGAGCUGUGGCCCAAUAACAAUAAGAAGUGUUCAAACAAGUUAGAGAAAAAUCCACAACACUCAAACAUUAUUGGUGUUGACAAUUGAAUAAUGGGUUCAAACUUAAUUGCUCUAACAAAAAUGAACUACAAAUUAUUGUUCAUAUAAUUAAAUAUGAAUUUUAACUGGUGUCAGUUGACCCCAUAUCCUACAACAUAGGUCUGUAAGUGUUUGGCCUUUAUGUGUUAGAGUGAAUGAUUUUUUAGAUAAAGAAAGCAUUUUGAAAAGAUGGAAUCUAUCAUGAUCGAUAUGAAUUUCUUAUACUUGAGAAAUUU
Molecule: small RNA, 556 nt
Filed under: Arabidopsis thaliana (thale cress)
Lineage: Eukaryota; Viridiplantae; Streptophyta; Magnoliopsida; Brassicales; Brassicaceae
Description: ATSL215790
Source: RNAcentral